GGUCUCAUAGUUCAACGGAUAGAAUAGAAGUUUCCUAAACUUUUGAUCCCAGUUCGAUUCUGGGUGAGACUACCA
RNAcentral lists this transfer RNA (75 nucleotides) under Flammeovirgaceae bacterium. RNAcentral's name for it is "tRNA-Arg". It matches the Rfam family "tRNA". From Rfam's summary of the family: Transfer RNA (tRNA) molecules are approximately 80 nucleotides in length. The record is from RNAcentral. Lineage: Bacteria; Pseudomonadati; Bacteroidota; Cytophagia; Cytophagales; Flammeovirgaceae. RNAcentral also lists the same sequence under 1 other name.